AGUACUUGUCAAAGUUUACCAUACUUUAAAUAAUAAUGCCUUGACUUAUCAUUGAAUGAAAAUGAAACGGUUUUAUAAAAGCUUUGGUCACGAGGUUACAACUUAGUGAUUUAAUUGGGCAUGACUUUUCUGCAUAUAAUUACUGGUACGCUUAUGGGAAUUAUGUAAGAUGAUGUAUAUUUUGUUUCAAAAUAUUGAAGAUAAAAGAAGCUAAAGUAUCCUUUCGCUUGACCAAAGAAAGGGACGUUUUUGUCCUAAGCUUCUCCAUUUUAUGGCUAUACGAUUGAAUAUGAAAAGUAUAUACGCGCGAUAGAGAUUCAUUGCGUUGAAAUGAACCAAGUAAAAAAGAAAAGAAAUCUGUUUUUUAAUUCAUAGCACCACGGUCCAUGCUUCGCAAAACAUCAAACUGUGUCCAUCUAACUGCACUCAGUGGUACGUAGAAAGUGCAUAAAUAUGUAUGUCAAUUCCGCUUACAAAACUGCUGAUCCUUGACCAACGCGGUUCUGUAGGUAAAAGCGGAGUUCCCUUGAAAAAUGCAGCUUUUCCUAAUUGGUACAACCUUACGGAGAACGUGCAAACCAACUGCAAAUGCUCUUACGAACACAAAAGAGAAUCGCAUGACGGAUCAGUCCGACAUCUCAAGGAGACAACUUUCCGAUUAGUCCCUCUCCAUCGUCUACGUAAUCUGCUCAAUCUGCGGUGGGCAACGUGCGGUCUUAUCAUCGUUACGCCACGCAGUUCUCCGUGCUAAGGAAAAUUGUACGUGAAUGACACGAUGGAUUUCGAGGAAAAAGCAAAUACGCUACUAAUGACUCGACUAGAUAUACUCGUUGAUCGAGAAAUCAUAAUUUCACUCGACCGAUAAUACGAUUAUCAAGCGUAUGGAUUUUCUUCGCUACAGUUUUCUGCAUUAAUUUCGUUACCUGUUACUAUAUGGUAUGCUCGUUUUCUUGGAAAAAUAAUAAAGGUAAAAAGUUUAACAUCUUCAGUCUUCGUGGAUACAAAUAUGUAAUAUGAUCAAAUAUAUAUACAUUUACUAUAUAUUACUCUUUCUAAUACACACUAGGGAAAAUAAACUAAUCAACGGGAAAACUUAAAACAAUAAUCGGAAUGGAUGUACCGUUAUGCUCUUAUUCACGCGAGUAUCAAUUCACGACUGCUUAAAAUUUAGUAAUCCUUAUCUCAUAGAUAUCAAUAUACUUGACGUAUGUUUGUCUUAUUACCCAUAUACUUAAUUGUUCUAUGGAUUUGAAGCGAAUAAAAUAUGUACAUAUAAA
Molecule: long non-coding RNA, 1277 nt
Organism: Bombus impatiens (common eastern bumble bee)
Lineage: Eukaryota; Metazoa; Arthropoda; Insecta; Hymenoptera; Apidae
Exons: 3
Source: RefSeq, a predicted model, not a curated record